Non-coding RNA from Mycena metata, 103 nucleotides. The record is from the annotation of a GenBank genome assembly. NCBI's taxonomy places the organism in Eukaryota, Fungi, Basidiomycota, Agaricomycetes, Agaricales, Mycenaceae.
GACUCGAAAGCGGAGUGGUCCGCGUCUGCUUUGCAUUCAGGUGCAGUGUGACAGGAUUUACAAUUGGAUGCAGAUAUUGUCGGUUCGACUCCGGCUCGAGUCU